This 303-nucleotide ribosomal RNA is filed under the name Triticum aestivum (bread wheat). RNAcentral's name for it is "partial small subunit ribosomal RNA". The record is from RNAcentral. Lineage: Eukaryota; Viridiplantae; Streptophyta; Magnoliopsida; Poales; Poaceae.
AUGACUUGCAUCUUUCCUACCACGGCCUUGAUGCUUCUCCCUUCGCUACCCGCAAAGCCAGCGCUGCCCUAUCCGUCGCCGCCUUCCCAUCGCUCCCCAGACCGUCGCUGCUUUCCUGCCACUCUCCUGUCCGUCGCCGCCUUCCCGCUGCUGCCCUGUCCGUCGCCGCCUUCCUGCCGCUCCCCAGACCGUCGCCGCCUUCCCGUCGCCCCCUGCCCGGCUGCCUUCCUGCCUUCCCUCUUAGUGAGAGAAAAUUGGAUGACUGAUUUGUUUCGUAGUAGACCUAGAUCGAUCCGGACUUGA